AAUAGCAGCAGAGAUUGAGCCAGGAAAGACUGUGGAGUAGAUGGUCAUCGAGCAGCCAACCAACCGGCAGGCAUGUGCGAGCAAUUAUCCAAUGACUGGCUACAAAGCGGCUGCUCAUCACCAUGAGACAAGGAAAUACGAGCUGCUGGCGUGUCACUGUGUGCCCCACAGCGAUCCAGCUGCUGCUGGCAGCAUGGCCAAGGAUACCAAGGUUAUGAACCAGGCGACCCAGAGGUGUGUUUUUUGGGGAGAGGAAAAAGUACUUCCCACACUUGAAUUAAAGAGGGCACAUUGAUUUUUGAGUGCCGUCCUUGAUGCAUCUGUCAAGAUCAGGAGAUAGAGUGCAGGACGCUCGUCACAGGAAGAGAGAUUCACGGGAUGGUUAAAGAGCAAAUUGCGCUGGGGAAAAAUGUAUAUUCUGUCAAGGAACUCAUAACAUGCCAGGCUUCCUUCGGGUCCAGCUAUCAGUCAUUAGAGGAAUCCCCCUUCUUGAAUUACUCAGCCACUAACUGACAGUGACCCGGGAGGUGCGGAUGUUCAUGCAAAUGCACACUGGGCGGUCAGGCCCACCGGACUUCACACUCAGGCCAGCGCUAACUUCUGAUGUGAUCCAGGUCUUCAGUGAAACUAAUUUGAAGAAAUCCACCAGACAGUACAAAGUAGGUCCUAUUUUGAAAACGUGGCAGGAAACCAUCAUUGAGAAAUUAGAGGGACUGCUGGAAAGCCCCUUAAAGCUGUAGUGUUUUCCCCCAUUGACCCUCCUAUUAUCAGAUUUAAUUUGAAGUAUUUCUUAGGAACCUUCUGUAGACCGGCAUCUUAACUGGGUUAAAAUGUUACCUGGGAGAGAUGCCAAAUAAACCAAUCUGUGUCAAUGUGCUAUAUCUCUGAUUAAUUCAUGGUUGCCGUGGCUUGUGGUCAGUGGCUUGUGGCAGGGUGGCUAGGGUGGGCUGGGCAGCAUGCUAGCCUCUGGAUCCUCUGGGGUCAGCUCCCUCGUGGUGUGUGGCUCACUCCUGGUGAUGUGAAGGUUGAAGGUGUAGACAAACUAGAACUCUCUCUGGUUACGCUGAUUUGGCAAUGAGCUACCCCUGGUCAGUGCGUUAGUGAAACUAUCCCCACGGCAGGUCUCAGAGCAGGUUACUGUGCUGUGCUCUGACUGAGGGCUGGGGUGCAGAUAUCUAGGGGUACUACUACUACUCAGCUUUCUGGCGCUGUGAGAAAAUACUUCAGAAAAUCAACUCAAAAGGAGUAAAGAUUUUUGCUUAUGGUUUCAAAGAUUUCAGACCCCAGUUUUUUGGCCCCUUUACUUUGGGUUGGUGGCAAGGUGAGUACAGUGUGGUAGGCUGGCAGUUGGGAAACACAGAAAGGGACAGGAAGGGGUGGAUCUCGAGGCACAGCCCUAGUGACCUAACUUCCUUCCAUGAGGAUCCACCUCUUGAAUGCUCCGCCAUUUCCCAGUAACAGGAGAGGCUUGACCAAGUACUUAGCAUAGGGGACUUUGAAGGCCAUUUAAAGUCCAAGUUGUAAGACCGGGCAUAAAAUAUGGGAACCUAAGUGCAGGACCCAGGACCUACAGAGUUGAAUGGAAUACAGCUUGAGCGAAGAUGAGAGACAGAGAUGUCUGGGUAGAAGCCAUGUUUUAUUUAUUCUUGGGUUGAGACUCUGAGUCUCAGACUAGGAGUUUCUGCCAACUUCAGAAAGUGACACGCAUUCUCCUUUGAUGUGGAGGCUGCUGUUAUUUGGAGGGUUGUGUAUAUUUGCUUGGUUUUUGAGGUGUUCCUUCACAGAGUAGGUAAAAAGGUCUUGCCUUAUCAGUAAGCAAAUAAGCCCUGAGUGAGGCUUCCUGGCUGGUUUCCAGCAAGAGGAUUAGCAGUGAUGUAAAGAAACACAAAUGCACCUCCAAGAGUAUCUUCUUGGCACUGGCGUCAGCCAACAGCUGGCCUGCAGGAGAAAUGCAAUCUUUUAAUUCAGGACCAAAAAUAUAACUUUUCAAAUGGGUCUCCGGAGUCCACGGUGAAAGUCUGACACUUUAUGACUAGGUGAUUCCAUCUAGGCUAGGUUCAGAGUGAAAAGUCUCACUGCGCCACAAGCUGGGUCUCAGUGGGGGACCUGGGGACCCACCCCCAGAUGACUUUGACAAGUGGCAUUCUAAUGUGGAGCCUAGGGCUGGCAGGCUGGCAGGUGUGAGGGAACAAGGAGAGUAUUAUUAUCUUAAACAUGAUUAGCACUGGGCAAGCAGCUUAUUCGUUAUCUGCAGAUGGAAAUGCAGGACGAUGUAAAGCUUAUGGCUCAUGGAUGGAUCAUUAGGGGGAGCUCUGCACUUGACUAAGAUGUAUCGAUGGUUUAGUUCAGUCACAUCUGAAAAUUUCAGAGAUUUCACAGUCCUCAUUUGAUAUUCUUUUUCAUGCUGUGCCUUUCACCCUGCAGCAACAAGUGAUUGCUUUAGGAUAUUAUUUCAGGAAUGGGUAUGAGAAGACACUGGGGCUGAACAAAACACAACUCAUUGAUGUUGAUUUUAGUGUUUUGGAACAAGAAGAAUUUCUGUGUGAAUAUGAAAGUGAGGAAACAGAAGAGGAGGAAUGAGAAAGGAAGAAAGACUCUUACUUAUUAUGAGAAGGACUACUUGCACAUGACCUGUGUGAGUAAGGGCUGAUUUUUUCAUUGUUAUGGCCACAACAUUUCCUGUCAUAUAACACUGAGUAUAGUCCUAGAAAUUAUUGUCAUAUAGCAGCUGAUCACCAGUAAAACAGACACAGUUAACUCAGGGACAAUCAGCAAUUGUAAUGUAUUGUUCGAUAGCUGACAGUAACAGUAGCUGGAAUGGUUGCAUCCACAGCCAGGAUUUUGCGGUACUGGCUUUGACGCACUGAUUUAAUCUGAAGUGAAGACGAGGGUCUGAAACGUUAGUAGGAUCUGUAGCUAUGUGCAGCUGCAUGAGCAGACACUCCCUGUGUGCUGCGCUGCCAUUGCAAUAAAAAGGAACGCAGACCCCAGUGCUCUCCUCUCUCCCCUCUCCCCUCUUCCUCCUCCUCCUGUAGUGGAUCAACCACUGUUUGUUUUCCCUGUAAUCACUCAGGAGAAAAUGGAAGAAAGGACACGUACAUGAGGUUGAACAUGUUAACUUACUGGCUGUUUUUGUUUAGCAUAUAAAAGACAAUAACAAAAUCUUUGACUAAAAUGAAACCUAAGUUGUGCUUGUGGAAUUUGAUGAUUCAGACAAUCGUAGGCUUCCACUACCAUCUAUAUGUAUAUUUCCUAAAGAGUAAUAUCAGCAAACCUUCACAAGCAUUGGGGUGGGUAAUAAUAUUUCUUUAAGGUUCUUAGGAGAAGUGAAAGUCAUUUCAAAGGACUUUAAUUGCCAUGGCGUGAUUCCACUUCCUACUUAACUUUGUUUGCCUCAAGGUCCCCUCUGCAGAUUGUCAAAGGCAUGAUUUAGGUUUUUGGAAGCAGCUGAUGAUGCCAUAAAUCUGACCAGCCAGGGAGUGUGCUUGGAACUGGCAGUACAUUCUGUGUGUCCGAAUGUCACAAGGAACACUCCUGAGUGGAGCAACCUGGGACUGCGGGGCAGCCUGACCAUGCAAACAGACAGACAAGGGGGAAAGAGUGGAUUCAUGAGUUUAAUCUAGAGAAGUACAAUGCCAGUGUGAUUCUGGCCUCCACAGCGGUACUGUUAAAGAGACCUUGGUUGUUCUUCCUCGAAGUGGGGCCUGGGGAAUCUGGCCUAUAGUCAUACUGUUGAUGCACAGCAUCAGAAUAAGGACACGUGUCCUCCUGACUUUUUGCAUAGUUAAGUUUCAGAACUACUCUAGUAAAGGCAGACCUACUGCCUUAGGGCCCACUGGUCCCUAUCCUAACAGGUUAGCAUAGGAAAGUCGGGGAGCUAUAUGGUGCCCAGGUCUUUUUGCCUGCGUUCCCAUAGCAUUCUCAGGAGAGACAGAGAGAGUAAUUCCAAUGAACCACAGAUAGUUUAAGCAGAUUGUUCAAGGCCACACUAGACGUGUGAGGAAGCAACAGAGCCAGCCCGAGUCCUCCUUAUCGUGACUGAAAAUUAGAAUUCUUUUCACUAAAACAUGAAAUGCAGAUUUUACUUUCUCUGUCAAACAGUCCCCAGACAUUAUUCAUUAUAACCAGGCAUGAACAGAAAGAGUUUAAUUCCCAUUUCUUUAACAUUUAUUUGGGCUUCUCUUAACCUCCCACGGGGAGAGCCCCAGUAUUUCUCAGCUGUGAACCAAUGUUAGCUGCUGCCCUCAUACGUGAUGUGGACAUGGACAUCCCUUUUCUGGGUCACUCUGGGUAAAGGGAAGGAAGAGAGUCUCCUUCCCUGUACACAGGGCAAUUCAGGUGCCACACUCUUUAGAGCUGUAUUAUUUUAUUCAGUAUGUUGUGUCAUGUUUUAUAGCAAUGUUGGUUUUCCCAUUGUUUAUAGGUUAAACUUUUAAGAACUCUAGGGUAUUCAUUAUUUCUAAAGAAGAUUUUCAUCUAGGAAAAAAACUCUUAAAGAAGUUUCCCUGGUAAGGGUUUAUUUCUAGUUCAGGACUCUACCUCUUUUUUUGUUUGUUUUUGUUUCUGUUUAUUUAUUUAUUUUUUGAGAUACUGAUUUUAGAGCAUCCCAGAAGUGCUUCUUGGUAGACUAUCACCUACAAAUUUUAUCUUUCAGGUAAGGACUGGAAUCAUACAAAUAAGUGAAAAAAAUUAGGCUCUGGGUAGACAAAAGAGGUUGCUGAAUGGUUCAGGUCCUUGAUUCCUUGAUGAUUAAAUAGGUAUGAUAAAGCCAACCUCAUGGGUGGUCGUGAUGGCCAAAUUAGGGACAGGUGUGCAGUGCCAGUCCCAGCACUGGUACAAGGAAGGAGUCAAAUGUCAGCACCUUUCAUAUUCUGGGGAGUGGAAGAGAUUGGCAAAGGCCAGAGGCUGGGAACUGAUAGCAAGGGUCACCAAAUGCUGGAAACAGGGAAGGAACCUGGCAGAGUCCAAAAUACAUGGCAUUUCACCUUUACCAGAAGUAAGUUUCAGGAGUUGGGUGUGUUAUAUAUAUAUAUAUGGACCAACUCCACUCAGGAAUGCAAACAUUAUGUACUGCACACAUGUAAUAAUAAACUAAAAUAAAAGAGCAGUGAGUUGUAACCAUCUCCACUGCUUUGAUUCCAGGAUACCCAGACAUAUAUUGGCCAAUUUUACAGAGUUCUGUGCAUAUGCAAAGCUCUAUCUGACACCUUUUGACUGCCAGGCUUUGUAUCCUAGUUAUAGUACUUAAUAAUUGUGUGUUUUUUGGGCAAAUUCCCCCCCCCCCACAUUUCCUCCUCUGUAAGAUGGAGGUAAUAAUGGUCUCCACUUCAAGUGAUGUAAUAAGGAAUAAAUGUGAAGUACUUCUAUGGUACCUAGCAUGCAGUAAGUGCUCAGUAAAUGUUAUCAUAUGGCCCCUAGGCUAGGAAGUAUCUCCGGCUAUAUUAUUCAUGUUGUACAGCUGGGAAAAACUACUUUAACUCACUGAAUCAUUCUUCCAUUGCUGGGGCAAAAUACCUGAUGUAUACAACUGAAAAGAGAAAAGGUUUAUUUUGGCCCAGAGUCUCAGAGGUGUCAGGCUAUGGUCAGUUGACUUGAAAGCAGAAGCAUGACAGAAGGGCACAGCAGAGGAUGACUGUUCAGCUCAUGAAAGCCAAGAAUCACGAGAGUGAAGAAAGUCUCAGAAGAGAUGCACCCUUCAAAGACAUGCUCCAGUUCCUCCAGCUGUGGUGCCACUUAAUCCAUUGAUGAUGCUAACAUCCAGUCUGGUUCUCUAGUCCCGUCCUCUGCAUGUUGCUGCACAGGGGAUCAAAGCUUCAGUUUGUGAGGGGGUGUUUUGAGGGGGGUUGUAGGGUUUAUAUCUAGAUGUUCCCCCAAAGUUGCAGGUACCCAUGGAUCAUGCGUGUGGAUGACACUGGAUUAGCCAAUUGGUGGGUUUAUGGCUAGGUGUGAAGUAGGAGGGAGCACCUGGUGUGCUGCUGGGGGUGUGGCCCGGAAGGGUGUGUAUCUCUCUUUCUCCUCCCUGAAUGGCUCACUGCUUCCUGUCUGUCAAUCUGUUUCUCCUCUGCCAUCUCCCUGUGCCAUGUUGCCCUGCCUUGGAGCCUGCUGACUGUGGUCUGAAACCUCUACCAAACAGUUGAGCCAAAAUAAACCUUUUCUCCUUUAAAUGGUGAGUAUUGGGCACUGUGUCUUAACAAGAAAGUAACUAAGAUGGAGAUUAGUGACAAUGUGUCUUUUACAGUAACAGAUGUAAAUUUGUUUUUACUUUAUCAUAUUGUAUCAGUCAGUGUUUUAUUAGAGAAACAUAUAAAUGUGUAAGAAAUUACAAGAUUGGCUAACAGUGGUCAUGCACAGAGCUGGAUGAGGAAGCAUGUCUGCCACUGGAGGCUGAAGGGUUCAGUCCAGAGUCUGGAGCUCCCUGCAGUGUCCCGUGCAAGUCUGUUGCAGGAGGCUGAUGGGUAUGCAGUGAAAGUCUGAAGAGUCUACACAGGAAGACUGAAUGAUCCAAGGUAAGAGCUUAAGAGUAUGUGAUAGAAGCCAGGAGACGACAUCCAAGCUGAAGGCAAAACAAGAGCUCCUCUGAAGAACAGAAGCCAGGGUGUCCUUGUGCAUCUCCCUCUUAUACCGUUCAGGCGAGGAGCUGUCCUAGGGUCGGCCAUCCACACCCUGGGGUGUGGAGCUGCUGAGCCAGUUCAGGCAAGCUUCUAAACUUCUCAGGUUGACAUGAUCAGUCAACCAUUAUACAUCAUAUCUUGUAGAAUAAGUACAUUCAGUUCUUUCUGUAUUUCAGUUCUUUAUAUGUCUAUAAAACCUAUAUCUUUCUAAUAUUUGUUUUCAUAACUUGCAAUGCUUGAUGAAAGUUUCUCUCUGGUCAAGCUUUACGUAUUCCUUUGUCCACUUAGUUAUAAUAUUGAUACAUGCAGCAAUAGUAGACUAUUAAUUUUGGCCCAGUCACCUGGUGAGAAUAAUGGACCAGUGUUAAACCAUUUAUCUAAAGGCAUUGAAAAACCAGGGACUCAGCAAGGAUUAGAGAUUACUGAGAUCUUGAGAAGAAGCGAGGUUUCGGAGGGGUGAACUGAGCUUGGCUGUUAGAAAUUUGCUUACUGAGAAGUGGCAGCUAGGUGGCUGAUAGGCCACGUGGAAAGUGACUGGGCCACUAAGUGAAGUACAGAGCCAGCUCUCACAGGUCUGAGUGGAUAGUUGAGGUUCAGGACCAAAGAGGAGGACUUCAAUCCGGCACCUCAGCUGCACCCUCUACAGCUAAUCUUUGCACACUGUUCUUCCUUCCAGCACCCCAGUCGCCCCUGAAUGUGUCUGUGCAGUAGAUUAACCUGGUUCCACCAUUCUAAACAACUGACGCACAGCUGGAAAAGAAAAGCUGCCAUUUUGGCAAGGAGAGGGUGUUUUCCAAGAGAAUGGUGGCAAUUUCAUCAAACCAGGAUCAGAAAGAGGUUAAAAAGACAGAGAGGAAAGACUGCCAUUCAGGCCUCAUAAGAGUUGAAACCAAGUGACCAGCAGCUUGGCUUUUGAUGGAAUAUCAGUGCGGAGGAGUUAAACACGUUGCUGGUUAAGUAAAAGGACAAUAGCAAUACAGCUUACACUGAUACAGCGGAAUCUCGGCUCACAAACUGAAUUCGUCCUCUGAUUCUGGGGAAGAAGUUCAUGGUGGUGUUGGCAUCCAAGGCAGAAUUCAUUAAUGGGGGAAGCAAAAUUUUACUAAACUGUUCUGUUUGGGAAUCAAAUUGUUUGUGAACAGAAGUGUUCAUGAACUGAGAUAUUACUGUGUAUAUAUAUAUAUAUAUAUAAUAUAUUAUGUAAUUGAAUAUAAUAUAUACUUGAAUAUAAUAUAUACUGGUAUAUAUAUAUGUUUCACUGUCUUACACCGAAUUGUUUUAGAAUGUAGUAUAUCUAUAUAGCUUAUUUUGGGGUUGGAAUAUUAAUAUAUGUCAUGUAUAACCAUAAUUGGAAAUUUCCAAAUAUAAAAUUUCUUUAGAAUUCCAUGAAGUGAACAUGGCUCUGAGAGGUAGAAAGAGGUUUUAUUUGUUUUUUUUUAUGCAUGCAACUUUGUCAAUAUAGUACGUGACUGUCAUUUACAACUACUUUAUUGGUGAGGGAUCCAACAGGAUCUGCUGGAUCUAGUACACUGAUAUACUCAAAGUAACUGGGUAAAAUUUUCCAGUGCAUUUCUGUGUCAUGUUCUCUAUUCAAAUGAAGCACGGAAGAUGUCGUAUCAAGCUGAAAACUUAAAAUUCUUGAAAGAAACCUCUUACUUGAAAAUAUUUCAAAUUUACAGAAAACUUGCAGAAAGUAGAAUAAUAUAAAGAACAUGCCAAAGUCUGCACUAUGUUUGCCUAUUGUUACAACUCUGUUCCAUUUGUUUUCUUUGUAAUCCUUCUCCAUAUGUACAUAUAUCUUUUUCUAUAAUGUUAUAUAUAUGCAUAUAUACUCACACUAUUUCCUGAACCAUUUAAAGGUAAUUUACACAUAGUACUGCAUUUUGUCCGUAAGUAUUUGUGAGCAGACCAUUAUAUUUUCUUAUAUAAUCCCAGUACAGUUUCAGCUUCAGGAAAUUUAACAAUUGUGUCCUUUUGUCUAGGUUAGGAUCCGUGUUUUAAUUUUGGUAAUUGUCCCAGCAGUGGCCUGCAUGGCAUUUUCCUCUUAAAAUAGAGAAUCCAGUCUGAGUCACACGUUGCAAUGAGUUGUUAUAUCUGCAGCCUCCUUUAUUGUGGAGCACUUUCAUACCCAUCUUUUUUGACAUUGGUAUUUUUGCAGAAUACAGGCCCUUAUCUUUUUCCUAAUAAAACAUUUUUCCUCCUGUCAGGGCCCUCUCAUGAUUAGUUUCUGGCUAACUUGAAUGCCCAUUUUUUUCCAGCAUGCUCAAUAGCCGGAUCCUGUUUGCUUAACCAAAGGCAAAUGCAUCUCCUCUCGCAGAUGAUGUUAAUUUUGAUCAUCUGGUCAGGAUGUUGCCUGAACUUUCCAGUGUAUAAGUAAUUUUUUCUUGCAAUUAAUAAAUAGUAUGUGAAAGACACUUUAAGACCACAUGGAUAUUUUACUCUGCAUUAAAUUUUUCCUAUUUUAAAAUCCA
Long non-coding RNA from Cavia porcellus (domestic guinea pig), 9082 nucleotides. RefSeq lists it as uncharacterized. The record is from RefSeq and is a predicted model, not a curated record. The transcript is spliced from 6 exons. Lineage: Eukaryota; Metazoa; Chordata; Mammalia; Rodentia; Caviidae.